GACGAACGCUGGCGGCGUGCUUAACACAUGCAAGUCGAGCGGUAAGGCCCUUUCGGGGGUACACGAGCGGCGAACGGGUGAGUAACACGUGGGUGACCUGCCCUCAGCUCUGGGAUAAGCCUGGGAAACCGGGUCUAAUACUGGAUAUGACUCCAUGACGCAUGUUGGUGGGGUGGAAAGCCUUGUGCGGCUGAGGAUGGGCCCGCGGCCUAUCAGUCUUGGUUGGGUGGGGNGAUGGCCUACCAAGGCGACGACGGGUAGCCGGCCUGAGAGGGCGACCGGCCACAC
Molecule: ribosomal RNA, 288 nt
Filed under: uncultured bacterium
Lineage: Bacteria
Description: partial 16S ribosomal RNA
Rfam family: Bacterial small subunit ribosomal RNA
Source: RNAcentral